RNAcentral lists this ribosomal RNA (274 nucleotides) under uncultured bacterium. RNAcentral's name for it is "partial 16S ribosomal RNA". It matches the Rfam family "Bacterial small subunit ribosomal RNA", at positions 523 to 796 of the family's 1533-position model. The record is from RNAcentral.
AUACAGAGGGUGCAAGCGUUAAUCGGAAUUACUGGGCGUAAAGCGCGCGUAGGCGGUUUGUUAGGUUGGAUGUGAAAGCCCUGGGCUCAACCUGGGAACUGCAUUCAAAACUGGCGAACUAGAGUAUGGUAGAGGGUAGUGGAAUUCCUGGUGUAGCGGUGAAAUGCGUAGAUAUCAGGAGGAACAUCAGUGGCGAAGGCGACUACCUGGACCAAUACUGACGCUGAGGUGCGAAAGCGUGGGGAGCAAACAGGAUUAGAAACCCCAGUAGUCC